UGAGGAAUAUUGGGCAAUGCCCGCAAGGGUAACCCAGCAACGCCGCGUGGAGGAUGAAUGUCGUAAGAUUGUAAACUCCUGUUAGAGGGGAAGAAUAGUACCGGUUGGACCGGUAUAUGACUGUACCCUCAGAGAAAGCCCCGGCUAACUACGUGCCAGCAGCCGCGGUAAUACGUAGGGGGCAAGCGUUGUCCGGAUUUACUGGGUGUAAAGGGCGCGCAGGCGGGAUAAAAAGUCAGUGGUGAAAUCCUACAGCUUAACUGUAGAACUGCCUUUGAUACUUUUAUUCUUGAGUUCGGGAGAGAGAGACGGAAUUCCAGGUGUAGUGGUGAAAUACGUAGAUAUCUGGAAGAACACCAGUUGCGAAGGCGGUCAACUGGCCCAUAACUGACGCUCAUGCACGAAAGCGUGGGGAGCAAACA
This 422-nucleotide ribosomal RNA is filed under the name uncultured bacterium. RNAcentral's name for it is "bacterial SSU rRNA". It matches the Rfam family "Bacterial small subunit ribosomal RNA", at positions 355 to 774 of the family's 1533-position model. The record is from RNAcentral.